AUUGAACGCUGGCGGCAUGCCUUACACAUGCAAGUCGAACGGUAACAGGUCUUCGGAUGCUGACGAGUGGCGAACGGGUGAGUAAUACAUCGGAACGUGCCUAGUAGUGGGGGAUAACUACUCGAAAGAGUGGCUAAUACCGCAUGAGAUCUACGGAUGAAAGCAGGGGAUCGCAAGACCUUGUGCUACUAGAGCGGCCGAUGGCAGAUUAGGGAGUUGGUGGGAUGAAAGCUUACCAAGCCGACGAUCUGUAGCUGGUCUGAGAGGACGAUCAGCCACACUGGGACUGAGAAACGGCCCAGACUCCUACGGGAGGCAGCAGUGGGGAAUUUUGGACAAUGGGCGCAAGCCUGAUCCAGCAAUGCCGCGUGCAGGAUGAAGGCCUUCGGGUUGUAAACUGCUUUUGUACGGAACGAAAAGCCCCGGGUUAAUACCCUGGGGUCAUGACGGUACCGUAAGAAUAAGCACCGGCUAACUACGUGCCAGCAGCCGCCGUAA
Molecule: ribosomal RNA, 498 nt
Filed under: uncultured bacterium
Lineage: Bacteria
Description: partial 16S ribosomal RNA
Rfam family: Bacterial small subunit ribosomal RNA
Source: RNAcentral